UAACACAUGCAAGUCGAGCGGUAACACAAAGGAGCUUGCUCCUUGGGUGACGAGCGGCGGACGGGUGAGUAAUGCCUGGGGAUCUGCCCGAUAGAGGGGGAUAACUACGGGAAACUGUAGCUAAUACCGCAUAACGUCUACAGACCAAAGUGGGGGCUCUUCGGACCUCAUGCUAUCGGAUGAACCCAGGUGGGAUUAGCUAGUUGGUGAGGUAAUGGCUCACCAAGGCGACGAUCUCUAACUGGUUUGAGAGAAUGACCAGUCACACUGGAACUGAGACACGGUCCAGACUCCUACGGGAGGCAGCAGUGGGGAAUAUUGCACAAUGGGCGCAAGCCUGAUGCACCCAUGCCGCGUGUGUGAAGAAGGCCUUCNGGUUGUAAAGCACUUUCANCGGGGAGGAAGGGAUACNANAUAAUACCUAUUGNUGUUGACGUUACUCCCANAANAAACACCGGCUAACUCCGUGCCUNCANCNNNGGNANAAAAAAAAUAAANA
RNAcentral lists this ribosomal RNA (499 nucleotides) under uncultured bacterium. Its description in RNAcentral is "partial 16S ribosomal RNA". It matches the Rfam family "Bacterial small subunit ribosomal RNA", at positions 49 to 537 of the family's 1533-position model. The record is from RNAcentral.